RNAcentral lists this ribosomal RNA (446 nucleotides) under uncultured bacterium. Its description in RNAcentral is "partial 16S ribosomal RNA". It matches the Rfam family "Bacterial small subunit ribosomal RNA", at positions 338 to 795 of the family's 1533-position model. The record is from RNAcentral.
CCUACGGGAGGCAGCAGUCGAGAAUCAUUCACAAUGGGGGAAACCCUGAUGGUGCGACGCCGCGUGGGGGAAUGAAGGUCUUCGGAUUGUAAACCCCUGUCAUGUGGGAGCAAAUUAAAAAGAUAGUACCACAAGAGGAAGAGACGGCUAACUCUGUGCCAGCAGCCGCGGUACUACAGAGGUCUCAAGCGUUGUUCGGAAUCACUGGGCGUAAAGCGUGCGUAGGCUGUUUCGUAAGUCGUGUGUGAAAGGCGCGGGCUCAACCCGCGGACGGCACAUGAUACUGCGAGACUAGAGUAAUGGAGGGGGAACCGGAAUGCUCGGUGUAGCAGUGAAAUGCGUAGAUAUCGAGAGGAACACUCGUGGCGAAGGCGGGUUCCUGGACAUUAACUGACGCUGAGGCACGAAGGCCAGGGGAGCGAAAGGGAUUAGAUACCCCAGUAGUC